UGCACGUCGUGCGUGCGCCGUGUGUAUGUUGCCUUGUGGAAUAUCUCCCAUAGGUUAUGGAUUUUUCAAUAUUUUCACCUUAAAGGAGUCUUUAAUGUGAAUAUUCACCACCAUAUACCUAUGUUCUAUAAAAAUCAUCUCGGCCAUAUCUCAUUUAAAGUCUUCCGUAAACGCCUUGGGUAAGAAAACUGUACGUAGUAAAAUUCCCCGUUUUAAAACAGAACAAAGGUAGUGUAUCAAAACUCCAUCGCAGCAAACAGCUAAAUGCAUUUCUUUGGACACCAUUUAGCCUUAUAAGGGAUGUUUUGUAGUGAUAAGUAUUGUCGCCUGUGCAUCAGACCGGUUUCCACCAUUUAAAAGCAUCCGGGUCUCUUCCUGCUAGAUAAGACGACUAGUAUUUACUCGACAAAAUGGACGGAUUCUCUAAGAGAUCAAGGCGAUGCCAGCAAUACUGGUCGAUGUUGACACUGUUUGCGCAGGUCUUAGGCCUGAAAGCCGAUAGCAGCAAUGGCGAAUUGAUGGCGAACAGCGUCGUGUCAUGGCUGGCCGAGAACGGAGCGGGGGCGUACAACCGGUUAUAGCAGUGGGCACUCAGAAAAUUCUUCUUUUUAUAAGUUCAAUAGACGCAAGUUAAAGCCAAUAGUUUAAUCCUCAAUGCCCAAUAUUUGAAUAAAACAAAUGAAAGUUUUUAGUAAAGCACAAAAAAUAAUG
Molecule: long non-coding RNA, 711 nt
Organism: Nematostella vectensis (starlet sea anemone)
Lineage: Eukaryota; Metazoa; Cnidaria; Anthozoa; Actiniaria; Edwardsiidae
Exons: 2
Source: RefSeq, a predicted model, not a curated record